GACGGAGGAUGCAAGUGUUAUCCGGAAUUAUUGGGCGUAAAGCGUCCGCAGGUGGCUAUUCAAGUCUGCGGUCAAAGACUGGGGCUUAACCCUGGAAAGGCCGUGGAAACUGAAGAGCUAGAGUGCAGUAGGGGUAGAGGGAAUUCCCGGUGUAGCGGUGAAAUGCGUAGAGCUCGGGAAGAACAUCGGUGGCGAAAGCGCUCUGCUGGACUGCAACUGACACUCAGGGACGAAAGCUAGGGGAGCGAAUGGG
This 253-nucleotide ribosomal RNA is filed under the name uncultured bacterium. RNAcentral's name for it is "partial 16S ribosomal RNA". It matches the Rfam family "Bacterial small subunit ribosomal RNA", at positions 524 to 776 of the family's 1533-position model. The record is from RNAcentral.